Molecule: ribosomal RNA, 828 nt
Filed under: Triticum aestivum (bread wheat)
Lineage: Eukaryota; Viridiplantae; Streptophyta; Magnoliopsida; Poales; Poaceae
Description: partial small subunit ribosomal RNA
Source: RNAcentral
AUGCAGUGUCAUUGGGCUGACAAGUGGAUACAAUUUCAGUAUCAGGGCAAAGAGAUCAAACUUCAAGGAGUUCUGCAUGUUCAACAAGAGAGUAUAGAGGAGAUAUUUGCUGAACAGUUCCUUAAGUGGGAAAAAGGAAACGAUGUGUGGGCUACUGCACUGCUAAAUCGCAUAGUAAUGGCACCUGUUACAGAAGUUCCUCUAGAGGUGCAACAAGUGUUGGACAGGAACAAACAGGUGUUCCAAGAGCCACACACUUUACCUCCACACAGAGCUUUUGAUCACAAAAUAAAUCUAGUACCAAAUGCUGCUCCUGUUAAUUGUAGACCAUACAGAUACUCUCCCUUACAAAAGGAUGAAAUUGAGAAACAAGUAAAGGAAAUGUUGGAUGCAGGUCUCAUUAUACCCAGUAUAAGCCCUUUUGCUGCACCAGUUUUAUUAGUCAAAAAGAAGGAUGGGACUUGGAGGUUUUGUGUGGAUUACAGAAAACUUAAUGCCAUUACUAUGAAGAACAAGUUUCCUAUGCCAGUGAUAGAUGAGAUUUUGGAUGAAUUAGGAGGAGCAAAAUGGUUCUCCAAGUUGGAUCUCAGAUCUGGGUACCAUCAGAUAAGAAUGCAAGAGGAGGAUGAGUUUAAAACAGCAUUCAAAACCCAUCAUGGGCAGUUCCAAUUUAGGGUAAUGCCUUUUGGAUUAGCUACUGCUCCAGGCACCUUUCAGUGUGUCAUGAAUUUUGCUUUUGCUGGAGCUAAUAGGAAAUAUGUCCUAGUCUUCAUGGAUGAUAUACUGGUGUUCAGUGGACCACUGGAGGAACAUAUAGAGCAUCUUUAG